GUCAGGAUGGCCGAGUGGUCUAAGGCGCCAGACUCAAGUUCUGGUCCACUUAUGUGGGCGUGGGUUAGAAUCCUACUUCUGACA
RNAcentral lists this transfer RNA (84 nucleotides) under Dermacentor andersoni. Its description in RNAcentral is "transfer RNA leucine (anticodon CAA)". It matches the Rfam family "tRNA". Rfam says of the family: Transfer RNA (tRNA) molecules are approximately 80 nucleotides in length. Their secondary structure includes four short double-helical elements and three loops (D, anti-codon, and T loops). Further hydrogen bonds mediate the characteristic L-shaped molecular structure. tRNAs have two regions of fundamental functional importance: the anti-codon, which is responsible for specific mRNA codon recognition, and the 3' end, to which the tRNAs corresponding amino acid is attached (by aminoacyl-tRNA synthetases). tRNAs cope with the degeneracy of the genetic code in two manners: having more than one tRNA (with a specific anti-codon) for a particular amino acid; and 'wobble' base-pairing, i.e. permitting non-standard base-pairing at the 3rd anti-codon position. The record is from RNAcentral. Lineage: Eukaryota; Metazoa; Arthropoda; Arachnida; Ixodida; Ixodidae.